RNAcentral lists this ribosomal RNA (459 nucleotides) under uncultured bacterium. RNAcentral describes it as "partial 16S ribosomal RNA". It matches the Rfam family "Bacterial small subunit ribosomal RNA", at positions 338 to 795 of the family's 1533-position model. The record is from RNAcentral.
CCUACGGGAGGCAGCAGUGAGGAAUAUUGGUCAAUGGGAGAGAUCCUGAACCAGCCAAGCCGCGUGAGGGAAGACGGCCCUAUGGGUUGUAAACCUCUUUUGUCGGAGAACAAAACCCGGGACGAGUCCCGGACUGCGUGUAUCCGAAGAAAAAGCAUCGGCUAACUCCGUGCCAGCAGCCGCGGUAAUACGGAGGAUGCGAGCGUUAUCCGGAUUUAUUGGGUUUAAAGGGUGCGUAGGCGGUCUGUUAAGUCAGCGGUAAAAUUGCGGGGCUCAACCCCGUCGAGCCGUUGAAACUGGCAGACUUGAGUUGGCGAGAAGUACGCGGAAUGCGCGGUGUAGCGGUGAAAUGCAUAGAUAUCGCGCAGAACUCCGAUUGCGAAGGCAGCGUACUGGCGCCAGACUGACGCUGAGGCACGAAAGCGUGGGGAUCGAACAGGAUUAGAUACCCCGGUAGUC